RNAcentral lists this RNase P RNA (394 nucleotides) under Cytophagales bacterium. RNAcentral's name for it is "RNase P RNA component class A". It matches the Rfam family "Bacterial RNase P class A". From Rfam's summary of the family: Ribonuclease P (RNase P) is a ubiquitous endoribonuclease, found in archaea, bacteria and eukarya as well as chloroplasts and mitochondria. Its best characterised activity is the generation of mature 5'-ends of tRNAs by cleaving the 5'-leader elements of precursor-tRNAs. Lineage: Bacteria; Pseudomonadati; Bacteroidota; Cytophagia; Cytophagales. The record is from RNAcentral.
CGGGCAAGCCGGCUUGUCGCUCCGUCCCAACGGGGAGGAAAGUCCGGGCAACACAGAGCAUCGUACUUCCUAACGGGAAGGUGGCGCCAAAGGCGCCAACAGACAGUGCCACAGAAAACAGGUAGCCACGCCUCGGGCGUGGUGAUAGUGAAAAGGCGGGGUAAGAGCCCACCGGUACCGAGAGUGAUUUCGGACGCAUGGCAAACCUUACGAGUUGAAAGGCCAAAUAGGUAGCAUCUCCUUCGGGAGGUCUGCGGCUCGCAGUCCACUUCGGUGGGUGCUACGGGUAGGCUGCUUGAUUCCGGAUUGCAAAAUCCGGAACAGAUAAAUGACAGGCGCCCCGGUCCCGAUAGGGAUCGGGGAACAGAACCCGGCUUACAGGCUUGCUUUUUUA